This 672-nucleotide ribosomal RNA is filed under the name uncultured bacterium. RNAcentral's name for it is "bacterial SSU rRNA". It matches the Rfam family "Bacterial small subunit ribosomal RNA", at positions 9 to 727 of the family's 1533-position model. The record is from RNAcentral.
GAGUUUGAUCAUGGCUCAGGAUGAACGCUGGCGGCGUGGAUAAGGCAUGCAAGUAGAACGCCCCGCAAGGGGAGUCGCGAACGAGGUAGUAAUACAUAGGUACAAACCCCCGAGUCAGGAAUAACCUACCGAAAGGUAGGCUAAUACUUGAUAGUCCCGCAAGGGUAAAGAUUUAUCGCUUGGGGAUUGGCCUGUGCAGUAUCAGCUAGUUGGUAGGGUAAUAGCCUACCAAGGCAAUGACGCUUAGGGGAGGUGAGAGCCUGGCCCCCACCGAUGGUACUGAGACACGGACCAUACACCUACGGGUGGCUGCAGUCGAGAAUCUUCCGCAAUGGACGCAAGUCUGACGGAGCGACGCCGCGUGACUGAUGAAGUCUUUCGGGAUGUAAAGGUCUUUUAUGAAGGAGAAAGUUUUGAUAGUACUUCAUGAAUAAGGGGUUGCUAAACUCGUGCCAGCAGCAGCGGUAAUACGAGUACCCCAAGCGUUAUCCGGAAUUAUUGGGCGUAAAGGGUAUGUAGGUUGUUAUGUUAGUCUUUUGUCAAAGCCUUCGGCUCAACCGGAGAAUUGCGGGAGAAACGGCAUAACUAGAGGGCGCGAGAGGUUUGCGGAACUCAUGGUGUAGGGGUGAAAUCCGUUGAUAUCAUGGGGAACACCAAAAGCGAAGGCAGCAA